ACGUGUUCCGCCAGAUCGUUCCAUUGAAAAGUACAUCACUUACGUAGACGGCUUGUCACCACUGCCAAUCUGGGGCCUCCCGCGCGACCUUUCUGCCAUUGACGAAUCAGGAUUCGCUCGCAGAUACGCUAGAGCCAAGAGCUACGCCACAACGUCGUGGGUUUUGAUCAACUCGUUCGAAGAACUCGAGGGCAGUGCCACCUUCCAAGCCCUCCGAGACAUCUCUCCCAAAGCAAUCGCAGUGGGUCCUCUUUUCACCAUGGCCCCCGGCUGCAACAAGGCAAGCUUGUGGAAGGAAGACACCGAGAGUUUAUCCUGGCUCGGCAAGCAAAGUCCCGGCUCGGUUCUCUACAUUUCCUUGGGCAGCAUCGCGACCCUCAGCUUCGAUCAGUUCAAGGAGUUCUCCGAGGGACUGAGGCUUCUCCAGCGUCCGUUUAUCUGGGCCAUCCGACCCAAGUCGGUCGCCGGCAUGGAGCCCGAGUUCCUGGAGCGUUUCAAGGAGGCCGUGAGGAGCUUUGGACUGGUUGUGAGCUGGGCUCCUCAGGUGGACAUCCUCCGCCACCCUUCCACGGCUGGAUUUCUCAGUCACUGCGGCUGGAACUCCAUCCUCGAGAGCGUAGCAUCCGCGGUGCCCAUGCUUUGCUGGCCGUGCGUCGCGGAGCAGAAUCUAAACUGCAAGUUGAUAGUGGAGGACUGGAAGAUCGGUCUCAAGUUCUCGUGCGUGACCAUGCCGGAUCCUCCCGAGGUGAUGGCGAGGGACGAGUUUGUGGAGGUGGUGGAGCGAUUCAUGGGAACUGACAGUGAGCAUUUGAGGAUUAACGUGAAGAAGCUGAGCGAGGAGGCUCGUAGAGCAGUGUCUAGUGGUGGCUCCUCAUAUGAAAACCUGGAGAGAUUUGCUCAAGCAGUGAAAAUUUCCUAAACUUCAAUCCAAAGCUAAGAGAAAACUUCAAAGCAUCUACUCUAUUCAAGAAUAUACUACAGUUCUUUCUCUCUCUCUCUGAAGAUAAGCACGCGCUUUGCGCGUAUAAUGGGUUCCAAGGUCAAUGUUGUCGCAAUUCCUCUCCCAGCUCAAGGCCACAUCUCUCCACUCUUGCAUCUCUGCCAAGCUCUCACUUUCAUCCUUUGGGGGAUGCUAUCUCCAAAACACGCAACCAUGAGGGAAUGUGCUGGACUUUGUUACGUGCAAAAACCCAUGGCUAAUGUGCUAAUGUAGACUCUAAGGUGAUGCUUUAUAUCAGAAACUGAUGUGAGGAGAAGAAACUAAAGAAAAACAAAGAAAAAAUAAUAAUAAGAAAGAGAGUGUAAAGUUCUGGAGUCAAAGGGGAACCACAUGGGGAAACUUGAUAAAAGAAUUAAACACUAAAAAAUGGAAAAACAAAAAGUGAAAAAAACUAAAGAGCAAAGAACAGCUUAAAGAAAUACUAGCAAGAUUGGAAGAGCUCUAGAGGCCAGUUAGAAUGGCCAUUUGUCUCAAGUUGGUCCCUGGCAUAGAGCCCGAGUUCCUGGAGGCUUUCAAGGCUCUCCUUGCAAGUGAUCAGCUUUGGACAGGUUGUGAGCUGGGCUCCUCAACUGGAAAUCCUCCAGCAUCCUUCCACAGGCUGCGAGAGUGUAUCUUCAGCGGUGCCAAUCCUUUGCUGGCCAUGAGUUGCCAAGCAGAAUCUCAACUGCAAGCUUAUAGUGGAAGACUGGAAGAUCGAUCUUAAGUUCCCGCCCAUGAGAGAUCCUCGCAAGGUUUAGAUGUAAUGUGAAGGAGCUCAGCGAGGCUGCUCAGGGAGCAACAGUGAAAGAAGGCAGGAUCUUCAUAUGAAAGUUUGGACAAGUUUGUCAAGUUUCAUAAGGUAACUUAUAUCCAAUGCCGCAGCUGGUGGCAGGAGGAUCAUCGGGCAUGAGGGCGGGGCCAAUGCACAGACAGACCAACCACCAAGAGCACAUAAAGAUGAUACUUGAAAGUGUAUAGGUUGGUGGAAGUGUUAUUUUCCUUCCCAAAGAAAUAGAUGGCGUAAUCAAGAGGAGUAAAACAUUCCUGAAGGAGAACACUAGAUUAAAACAUUUGCAAAACGCACUGAUUCUUAAGCUCAGCCUUGGAGCGAUUUGAAGCUUAUCCAGAAAAGGUAUUGUGAGAAACGGCAGCACCUUCCAGAGCACUCACGAAGUAAGCUUGAAUUUUCUUUGUUCUUCGUCAAUGGGUUCUUCUACUGGUGCCGAGGGGCUCGCUCCUCAUGCAGCGGUUCUUCCCGUUCCAACCCAAGGCCACAUCACUCCAUUCCUCCAUCUCUCCAGAGCGCUGGCGUCGCGAGGCUUCGUCAUAACUUUCAUCAACACGGAGGCCAACCACAGGGACUUGAAGGACAUCGUUUCGCAGGAGGAGAGCUUUGGCUAUGGCGGCGGCAUUCGCUUCGAGACGGUCCCGGGCAUCCAAGCGAGCGACGUCGACUUCGCGGUCCCGGAGAAGCGGGGGAUGUUGUCCGAGGCAGUGAUGGAGAUGCAAGCUCCAGUGGAAAGCUUGCUCAUCAGGAACAUGGCCAGAGACGAUGAUCUCGUUCCUCCGGUCUCGUGCUUCAUCUCGGAUAUGUUCCCGUGGUCCGCGGAAGUAGCAAGAAGGACUGGAAUCCCAGAGGUCAAGUUCUGGACCGCCAGUGCCUCUUGCGUUUUGCUCGAUUGCUCGUUUCCGCGAAUGCUGGAGAAGGGAGACGUUCCAGUCCAAGGUAAAGCUUCUUUCUUCUUUUUUAUUUGUCCUUCACUAACGUGUUCCGCCAGAUCGUUCCAUUGAAAAGUACAUCACUUACGUAGACGGCUUGUCACCACUGCCAAUCUGGGGCCUCCCGCGCGACCUUUCUGCCAUUGACGAAUCAAGAUUCGCUCGCAGAUACGCUAGAGCCAAGAGCUACGCCACAACGUCGUGGGUUUUGGUCAACUCGUUCGAAGAACUCGAGGGCAGUGCCACCUUCCAAGCCCUCCGAGACAUCUCUCCCAAAGCAAUCGCAGUGGGUCCUCUUUUCACCAUGGUCCCCGGCUCCAACAAGGCAAGCUUGUGGAAGGAAGACACCGAGAGUUUAUCCUGGCUCGGCAAGCAAAGUCCCGGCUCGGUUCUCUACAUUUCCUUGGGCAGCAUGGCGACUCUCAGCUUCGAUCAGUUCAAGGAGUUCUCCGAGGGACUGACGCUUCUCCAGCGUCCGUUUAUCUGGGCCAUCCGACCCAAGUCGGUCGCCGGCAUGGAGCCCGAGUUCCUGGAGCGUUUCAAGGAGGCCGUGAGGAGCUUUGGACUGGUUGUGAGCUGGGCUCCUCAGGUGGACAUCCUCCGCCACCCUUCCACGGCUGGAUUUCUCAGUCACUGCGGCUGGAACUCCAUCCUCGAGAGCGUAGCAUCCGCGGUGCCCAUGCUUUGCUGGCCGUGCGUCGCGGAGCAGAAUCUAAACUGCAAGUUGAUAGUGGAGGACUGGAAGAUCGGUCUCAAGUUCUCGUGCGUGACCAUGCUGGAUCCUCCCGAGGUGAUGGCGAGGGACGAGUUUGUGGAGGUGGUGGAGCGAUUCAUGGGAACUGACAGUGAGCAUUUGAGGAUUAACGUGAAGAAGCUGAGCGAGGAGGCUCGUAGAGCAGUGUCUAGUGGUGGCUCCUCGUAUGAAAACCUGGAGAGAUUUGCUCAAGCAGUGAAAAUUUCCUAAACUUCAAUCCACGGCUAAGAGAAAACUUCAAAGCAUCUACUCUACUCAAGAAUAUACUACUCUUUCUCUCUCUCUCUGAAGAUAAGCACGCGCUUUGCGCGUAUAAUGGGUUCCAAGAUCAAUGUUGUGGCGAUUCCUUUCCCCUCUCCACUCUUGCAUCUCUGCCAAGCUCUCACUUUCAUCCUUUGGGGGAUGCUAUCUCGAAAACACGCAACCACGAGGGAAUGUGUUAGACUUUGUCAUGUGCAAGAACCCAUGGCUAAUGUGUUAAUGUAGACUCCAAGGUGAUGCCUUAUGUCAGAAACUGCUGCGAGGAAAAGAAACUAAAGAAAAACAAAGAAAAAAUAAUAAGUGUAAAGUUCUGGAGUUAAAAAGGAAUCACAUGAGGAAACUUGAUAAAAGAAUUAAACACUAAAAAAUGAAAAAACAAAGUGAAAAAAGCUGAAGAGUAAGGAACAGCUUAUAGAAAUACUAACAAGAUUGGAAGAGCUCUAGAGGCCAGUUAUAAUGGCCAUUUGUCUCAAGUUGGUCCCUGGCAUAGAGCCCGAGUUCCUGGAGGCUUUCAAGGCUCUCCUUGAAAGUGAUCAGCUUUGGAUUGGUUGUGAGCUGGGCUCCUCAACUGGAAAUCCUCCAGCAUCUUUCCACAAGCUGCGAGAGUGUAUCUUCAGCAGUGCCAAUCCUUUGCUGGCCAUGAGUUGCCAAGCAGAAUCUCAACUGCAAGCUUAUAGUGGAAGACUGGAAGAUCGAUCUUAAGUUCUCGCCCAUGAGAUAUCCUCGCAAGGUGGUGGCAGGGACGAGUUUGUGGAGGUGGUGGAGCAACUCAUGGGAGCUGCGAGUGGCAAUUCCUUUAGAUGUAAUGUGAAGGAGCUCAGCGAGGCUGCUCAGGGAGCAACAGUGAAAGAAGGCAGGAUCUUCAUAUGAAAGUUUGGACAAGUUCGUCAAGUUUCAUAAGGUAAUUUAUAUCCAAUGCCGCAGCUGGUGGCAGGACGAUCAUCGGGCAUGAGGGCGGGGCCAAUGCACAGACAGACCAACCACCAAGAGCACAUAAAGAUGAUACUUGAAAGUGUAUAGGUUGGUGGAAGUGUUAUUUUCCUUCCCAAAGAAAUAGAUGGCGUAAUCAAGAGGAGUAAAACAUUCCUGAAGGAGAACACUAGAUUAAAACCUUUGCAAAACGCACUGAUUCUUAAGCUCAGCCUUGGAGCGAUUUCAAGCUUAUCCAGAAAAGGUAUUGUGAGAAACGGCAGCACCUUCCAGAGCACUCACGAAGUAAGCUUGAAUUUUCUUUGUUCUUCGUCAAUGGGUUCUUCUACUGGUGCCGAGGGGCUCGCUCCUCACGCAGCGGUUCUUCCCAUUCCAACGCUACGCCACAUCACUCCAUUCCUCCAUCUCUCCAGAGCUCUGGCCUCGCGAGGCUUCGUCAUAACUUUCAUCAACACGGAGGGCAACCACAGGGACUUGAAGGACAUCGUUUCACAGGAGGAGAGCUUUGGCUAUGGCGGCGGCAUUCGCUUCGAGACGGUCCCGGGCAUCCAAGCGAGCGACGUCGACUUCGCGGUCCCGGAGAAGCGGGGGAUGUUGUCCGAGGCAGUGAUGGAGAUGCAGGCUCCAGUGGAAAGCUUGCUCAUCAGGAACAUGGCCAGAGACGAUGAUCUCGUUCCUCCGGUCUCGUGCUUCAUCUCGGAUAUGUUCCCGUGGUCCGCGGAAGUAGCAAGAAGGACUGGAAUCCCAGAGGUCAAGUUCUGGAUCGCCAGUGCCUCUUGCGUUUUGCUCGAUUGCUCGUUUCCGCGAAUGCUGGAGAAGGGAGACGUUCCAGUCCAAGGUAAAGCUUCUUUCUUCUUUUUUAUUUGUCCUUCUUUCGAGAAGCACUAACGUGUUCCGCCAGAUCGUUCCAUUGAAAAGUACAUCACUUACGUAGACGGCUUGUCACCACUGCCAAUCUGGGGCCUCCCGCGCGACCUUUCUGCCAUUGACGAAUCAAGAUUCGCUGGCAGAUACGCUAGAGCCAAGAGCUUCGCCACAACGUCGUGGGUUUUGGUCAACUCGUUCGAAGAACUCGAGGGCAGUGCCACCUUCCAAGCCCUCCGAGACAUCUCUCCCAAAGCAAUCGCUGUGGGUCCUCUUUUCACCAUGGCCCCCGGCUGCAACAAGGCAAGCUUGUGGAAGGAAGACACCGAGAGUUUAUCCUGGCUCGG
This 5854-nucleotide long non-coding RNA is filed under the name Selaginella moellendorffii. Its description in RNAcentral is "long non-coding RNA (SMOE_LNC000745)". The record is from RNAcentral. Lineage: Eukaryota; Viridiplantae; Streptophyta; Lycopodiopsida; Selaginellales; Selaginellaceae.